Molecule: ribosomal RNA, 253 nt
Filed under: uncultured bacterium
Lineage: Bacteria
Description: partial 16S ribosomal RNA
Rfam family: Bacterial small subunit ribosomal RNA
Source: RNAcentral
UACAGGGGGUGCAAACGUUGCUCGGAAUUACUGGGCGUAAAGGGCGCGUAGGCGGCCUGCUAUGUCGAACGUGAAAUCCCCGGGCUCAACCCGGGAACUGCGUCCGAAACUGGCAGGCUUGAAUCCGGGAGAGGGAUGUGGAAUUCCAGGUGUAGCAGUGAAAUGCGUAGAUAUCGUAAGGAAGGCCGGUGGCGAAAGCGAGCCUCUGGACAGUUACUGACGCUGAUGCACGAAGGCCAGGGGAGCAAACGGG